Pimephales promelas (fathead minnow) is the source of this 1087-nucleotide long non-coding RNA. RefSeq lists it as uncharacterized. The record is from RefSeq and is a predicted model, not a curated record. NCBI's taxonomy places the organism in Eukaryota, Metazoa, Chordata, Actinopteri, Cypriniformes, Leuciscidae.
AGGAGGACCCCGUAAAUCUCCAUUAUUUAGACUGAUAGACAAGAACGGUUUGACUGAAAAAUAUCAGAAUUGAAAAUACUGUGGAAACAAAGACACCUACAUCUUGGAUGCCCUUGAGCAACUCAAGGUGCAGCAGUAAACUUAGGCCAUGGAGGACAACAACAGAGAUUCCAACACUCACAGCUAUCGUUAUUACUAUGACUCUGAUUAUGGAAAUGAAAUACUUACUUAUCCACACUCUGAGUAUUUUUGGGAAAUCAGACUGUCCAUCUUCUUCAUCGCUGCUCUGUGUGUGGGUGUUCCAUGUCUGAUUUGGGCUUUUUAUUUUGUGCAUCUUCAGAAAAGGACCAGAAGCCGGAUCUCAGCCUUCAUCAUCCUCCUCCUCCUCUGUGACCUGUUGCAACUGCUCCUGUAUAUAUAUAUAGUGUCAAAACUUCUUUCUUUCAGUUUUUUCCAUGGCGUUGAAAUUAUAAUGCUUGGAUAUUUUUGUCUGAAAGUCUGUGGCGUUCACCUGCAACAGUUGGUGGCUCUGGAGGGGGUUCUGACACUGAAAUAUCCAAUGAUCUCUGCUCAUAUUUUCUCAACCCCGUGUUACAUAAUAUUCUCCAUCAUUAUACUUGUUUUUCCUGUAAUGUGUGCAUUAUUGGUUUUCGGUUACCCUGGUAGUCAUGGUUUUUAUCUCGGUGUUGGCUCAAUUCUGGCACCUGUGUGUUUAUUGGUUGUCACAGGAAUAAUCACAUGCAAAGCCCCACCCACUCCAGCCAGAACACCUGACAGUGACAACAAACCAGGCGCAUCGUUGUUUCUUGUUACCAUGGUUACCUUAGUUGUGCUCUAUUUACCAUGUGUGUUACUUCACUGUGUGCAAAUCCUCUUCUUUCACGUGACAGACUCUUGGCUCGUGAUGUGUCACUGCUUGUUGAGUUUGACAGUGAUUUCAGAGCCUCUCCAGUGUGUGCUGGUCUGUAGAGAGAAUCUCAGGGCUCAGACUAAUCAAACACACAUAGAGCUCAAUACUGAACAGACAUCAGUCUGAACUGGAUAUUCAGAUGAGGCUUAUUUCAAUAACAAAAAUUGUUAAACUUUA